This 217-nucleotide long non-coding RNA is filed under the name Spirodela polyrhiza (greater duckweed). Its description in RNAcentral is "long non-coding RNA (SPOL_LNC001199)". Lineage: Eukaryota; Viridiplantae; Streptophyta; Magnoliopsida; Alismatales; Araceae. The record is from RNAcentral.
UCCCGUGGACAUUGGUUUAACGAUGGAUGUUCCCUGGGUUAAACCUACAACCAUUCUCCUUAGGUGUGUGACACUCUUCCCAAAUCAUCUCCAUUGAUGCACCGCAGGCACCACCCUUUUAGAAUCAUUCAUUGUCUCCUUGGGGCAUCUCUUUUGACCACCCUAGGCUAUGUUUCACCUUAAUCACCAACUACUGCUCCUCUUAUAUAGUCAAAAG